UCCAUUGAUUUCUUGGUCUUUUUCAAAUACAUGAGAUACGGUUCACAGUUGCUAGAAUCCUUGCUUGAAGAUUUCAGUGAGAUGGCUUUGAAGCAGAGCAAAAUAUAACACUUAUAACACAUUUAACAUUAAAAGCCAGUGACAACAUGUGUAACAGUGUAAGACAAGAAGAAAUAUGCUUCUGCAGCUCAACAAAUCCAUGCUCCAUCUCCACUACUUCUUCAGAUAUUAUACACAAAAUAAGAUAUAA
This 250-nucleotide long non-coding RNA is filed under the name Brassica rapa (field mustard). Its description in RNAcentral is "long non-coding RNA (BRAP_LNC003430)". Lineage: Eukaryota; Viridiplantae; Streptophyta; Magnoliopsida; Brassicales; Brassicaceae. The record is from RNAcentral.